AGAGAGAGACAUGCGCGCAUAUCAAUAAGCGGAGGAAAAGAAACUAACAAGGAUUCUCCUAGUAACGGCGAGUGAAGCGGGAAGAGCUCAAAUUUGAAAUCUUAAAGGGUUUCCCUUUACGAAUUGUAGUUUAAAGAAGUGUUUUCUGUUGAGGUUUUGGUAAAAGUUCUUUGGAAUAGGACAUCAUAGAGGGUGAGAAUCCCGUAUUUGACCUUUACUUUCAACUUUGUGAUACACUUUCAAAGAGUCGGAUUGUUUGGGAAUGCAGUCCAAAAUGGGUGGUAAAUUUCAUCUAAAGCUAAAUAUUGGCGAGAGACCGAUAGCGAACAAGUACCGUGAGGGAAAGAUGAAAAGAACUUUGAAAAGAGAGUUAAACAGUACGUGAAAUUGUCAAAAGGGAAGCGUUUGACACCAGUGUUGUUUUUCUGAAAAUCAAUUAAAGAACUGUUUAUGCUAAGUUGUUUAGACUUUAUCAGCUAUCUGUUUAGUUUUGAGCUUUUCUUUAAUGCACUUUUCAGUUAACAAGUCAACAUCAAUUUCUUUUGCUGUAAAAAAGCUUGAGGAAGGUGGCUUGAGAUUCGUCUUAAGUGUUUAUAGCCUCUUGCCUAUGCAGUCGGAGAGAUUGAGGUCUGCAGCGUAGAUCCUUCGGGGCUAAAUGCAUUUGUGCUAAGUUAUAGCAUUUUAUAGACAACUUGUUGACUAUGAUUUGUCUUGUAGCUUACUCGCUUAUGUUAUUUUACCUACGCUUAGGAUGUUGACGAGACUGUCGAUCUCAUCUAUACAUGACUCUGUGCAUAUCAAUAAGCGGAGGAAAAGGCUGCGGAACUGAACGACCGCUACCUACGCUUAGGAUGUUGAGCGCAUGUCUCUCUCU
RNAcentral lists this ribosomal RNA (874 nucleotides) under uncultured Neocallimastigales. Its description in RNAcentral is "partial large subunit ribosomal RNA". It matches the Rfam family "Eukaryotic large subunit ribosomal RNA", at positions 23 to 616 of the family's 3401-position model. The record is from RNAcentral. Lineage: Eukaryota; Fungi; Neocallimastigomycota; Neocallimastigomycetes; Neocallimastigales.